GUAGGUGAACCUGCGGAGGGAUCAUUACACAACAAAAUAUGAAGGCCUGGCUUUCGCGGCCGGCUGAAGUAUUUUUUUCACCCAUGUCUUUUGCGCACUUGUUGUUUCCUGGGCGGGUUCGCCCGCCACCAGGACCAAACCAUAAACCUUUUUUUCUUAUGCAGUUUCCAUCAGCGUCAGUAAAAACAAUGUAAUUAUUACAACUUUCAACAACGGAUCUCUUGGUUCUGGCAUCGAUGAAGAACGCAGCGAAAUGCGAUACGUAGUGUGAAUUGCAGAAUUCAGUGAAUCAUCGAAUCUUUGAACGCACAUUGCGCCCUUUGGUAUUCCAAAGGGCAUGCCUGUUCGAGCGUCAUUUGUACCUUCAAGCUUUGCUUGGUGUUGGGCGUUUUUUUGUUUCCCUCUUUCUGGGAGACUCGCCUUAAAACGAUUGGCAGCCGGCCUACUGGUUUCGGAGCGCAGCACAUUUUUUGCGCUUUGUAUCAGGAGAAAAGGACGGUACUCCAUCAAGACUCUACAUUUUUCACUUUUGACCUCGGAUCAGGUAGGGAUACCCGCUGAACUUAAGCAUAUCAAUAAGCGGAGGA
RNAcentral lists this ribosomal RNA (587 nucleotides) under Bipolaris oryzae. RNAcentral describes it as "eukaryotic LSU rRNA". The stretch from base 202 to 355 matches the Rfam family "5.8S ribosomal RNA". The record is from RNAcentral. Lineage: Eukaryota; Fungi; Ascomycota; Dothideomycetes; Pleosporales; Pleosporaceae.